UGGGGAAUAUUGCACAAUGGGCGCAAGCCUGAUGCAGCCAUGCCGCGUGUAUGAAGAAGGCCUUCGGGUUGUAAAGUACUUUCAGCGGGGAGGAAGGGAGUAAAGUUAAUACCUUUGCUCAUUGACGUUACCCGCAGAAGAAGCACCGGCUAACUCCGUGCCAGCAGCCGCGGUAAUACGGAGGGUGCAAGCGUUAAUCGGAAUUACUGGGCGUAAAGCGCACGCAGGCGGUCUGUCAAGUCGGAUGUGAAAUCCCCGGGCUCAACCUGGGAACUGCAUUCGAAACUGGCAGGCUAGAGUCGUGUAGAGGGGGGUAGAAUUCCAGGUGUAGCGGUGAAAUGCGUAGAGAUCUGGAGGAAUACCGGUGGCGAAGGCGGCCCCCUGGACAAAGACUGACGCUCAGGUGCGAAAGCGUGGGGAGCAAACAGG
This 429-nucleotide ribosomal RNA is filed under the name Chloroflexota bacterium. Its description in RNAcentral is "Chloroflexi bacterium partial 16S ribosomal RNA". It matches the Rfam family "Bacterial small subunit ribosomal RNA", at positions 355 to 776 of the family's 1533-position model. The record is from RNAcentral. Lineage: Bacteria; Bacillati; Chloroflexota.